RNAcentral lists this ribosomal RNA (358 nucleotides) under uncultured bacterium. RNAcentral describes it as "bacterial SSU rRNA". It matches the Rfam family "Bacterial small subunit ribosomal RNA", at positions 29 to 416 of the family's 1533-position model. The record is from RNAcentral.
AACGAACGCUGGCGGCAGGCCUAACACAUGCAAGUCGAACGCUCCGCAAGGGGAGUGGCGCACGGGUGAGUAACACGUGGGAACCUACCUUCUGGUACGGAACAACCAAGGGAAACUUUGGCUAAGACCGUAUACGACCUCCGGGUGAAAGAUUGAUCGCCGGAAGAGGGGCCCGCGUCCGAUUAGGUAGUUGGUGAGGUAACGGCUCACCAAGCCUUCGAUCGGUAGCUGGUCUGAGAGGAUGACCAGCCACACUGGGACUGAGACACGGCCCAGACUCCUACGGGAGGCAGCAGUGGGGAAUAUUGGACAAUGGGCGCAAGCCUGAUCCAGCCAUGCCGCGUGAGGGAUGACGGCC